AUCUUCAUCAGAUUUUGUUUUAAAUUUAAGGCACCACUGAGAAUCCAUUAAAGACCAAUGAGUCCUCAUAAAUUCUGCGAGUGCACGUGUCUCACCAGAUUUCAUAGCACCAACUACUUGCUUCUUGAGAAUGCUCUUUUCUGUUGUCUUUCCCUUUGCUGAAUCCCUCAUUUGCAGGCUGAUGAUCUCACUACCAUAUUCAUCAUUGAUGUGUGUCCAGAUUUUAGCAUGUUGAACAGGAAAAGGGAAAAGAUAAGAACUUUUUGAGAGUGAUUGUGAAUGAACCAUGUGCAGAACAUAUGGUGCUUGGAUGGGAACAGUGAAUGAGACUGCAAUUUGCAGGCAGAUUGGCUUUGAACUCAAAUUGCCUGAACUUGGCAGUAAUUCGACCCUUUUUUCAAUAGUAAGUUUAGAAAUUGGAUUCACAAAGUCUUGCAAAGAUAAUGAAGCAG
Molecule: unclassified non-coding RNA, 452 nt
Filed under: Hevea brasiliensis (rubber tree)
Lineage: Eukaryota; Viridiplantae; Streptophyta; Magnoliopsida; Malpighiales; Euphorbiaceae
Source: RNAcentral